UUUCAUUAAUCAAGAACGAAAGUUAGGGGAUCGAAGACGAUCAGAUACCGUCGUAGUCUUAACCAUAAACGAUGCCGACCAGCGAUUAGGAGACGUUGAAUACAAAACACCACCAUCGGCGCGGUCGUCCUUGGCGUCUCGGUCCUUCACGGGGCCGGGGCGCGGGGGCGGCUUAGCCCGGUGGCACCGGUGAAUGACUCCCCUAGCAGCUUGUGAGAA
This 219-nucleotide ribosomal RNA is filed under the name Acanthamoeba genotype T4. Its description in RNAcentral is "partial 18S ribosomal RNA". It matches the Rfam family "Eukaryotic small subunit ribosomal RNA", at positions 968 to 1096 of the family's 1831-position model. The record is from RNAcentral. Lineage: Eukaryota; Discosea; Longamoebia; Acanthamoebidae.